RNAcentral lists this ribosomal RNA (253 nucleotides) under uncultured bacterium. Its description in RNAcentral is "partial 16S ribosomal RNA". It matches the Rfam family "Bacterial small subunit ribosomal RNA", at positions 524 to 776 of the family's 1533-position model. The record is from RNAcentral.
UACGAAGGGGGCUAGCGUUGCUCGGAAGCACUGGGCGUAGAGCGCACGUAGGCGGCUUGUUAAGUCAGGGGUGAAAUCCUGGAGCUCAACUCCAGAACUGCCUUUGAUACUGGCGAGCUUGAGUCCGGGAGAGGUGAGUGGAACUGCGAGUGUAGAGGUGAAAUUCGUAGAUAUUCGCAAGAACACCAGUGGCGAAGGCGGCUCACUGGCCCGGUACUGACGCUGAGGUGCGAAAGCGUGGGGAGCAAACAGG